This 1290-nucleotide ribosomal RNA is filed under the name Streptomyces luteogriseus. RNAcentral's name for it is "bacterial SSU rRNA". It matches the Rfam family "Bacterial small subunit ribosomal RNA", at positions 53 to 1355 of the family's 1533-position model. The record is from RNAcentral. Lineage: Bacteria; Bacillati; Actinomycetota; Actinomycetes; Kitasatosporales; Streptomycetaceae.
CCAUGCAGUCGACGAUGACCACUUCGGUGGGGAUUAGUGGCGAACGGGUGAGUAACACGUGGGCAAUCUGCCCUGCACUCUGGGACAAGCCCUGGAAACGGGGUCUAAUACCGGAUACUGACCAUUGCAGGCAUCUGUGAUGGUCGAAAGCUCCGGCGGUGCAGGAUGAGCCCGCGGCCUAUCAGCUUGUUGGUGAGGUAGUGGCUCACCAAGGCGACGACGGGUAGCCGGCCUGAGAGGGCGACCGGCCACACUGGGACUGAGACACGGCCCAGACUCCUACGGGAGGCAGCAGUGGGGAAUAUUGCACAAUGGGCGAAAGCCUGAUGCAGCGACGCCGCGUGAGGGAUGACGGCCUUCGGGUUGUAAACCUCUUUCAGCAGGGAAGAAGCGAAAGUGACGGUACCUGCAGAAGAAGCGCCGGCUAACUACGUGCCAGCAGCCGCGGUAAUACGUAGGGCGCGAGCGUUGUCCGGAAUUAUUGGGCGUAAAGAGCUCGUAGGCGGCUUGUCACGUCGGUUGUGAAAGCCCGGGGCUUAACCCCGGGUCUGCAGUCGAUACGGGCAGGCUAGAGUUCGGUAGGGGAGAUCGGAAUUCCUGGUGUAGCGGUGAAAUGCGCAGAUAUCAGGAGGAACACCGGUGGCGAAGGCGGAUCUCUGGGCCGAUACUGACGCUGAGGAGCGAAAGCGUGGGGAGCGAACNGGAUUAGAUACCCUGGUAGUCCACGCCGUAAACNGUGGGCACUANGUGUGGGCANCAUUCCACGUUGUCCGUGCCGCAGCUAACGCAUUAAGUNCCCCGCCUGGGGAGUACGNCCGCAAGGCUAAAACUCAAAAGGAAUUGACGGGGGCCCGCACAAGCGGCGGAGCAUGUGGCUUAAUUCGACGCAACGCGAAGAACCUUACCAAGGCUUGACAUACACCGGAAACGUCUGGAGACAGGCGCCCCCUUGUGGUCGGUGUACAGGUGGUGCAUGGCCGUCGUCAGCUCGUGUCGUGAGAUGUUGGGUUAAGUCCCGCAACGAGCGCAACCCUUGUCCCGUGUUGCCAGCAGGCCCUUGUGGUGCUGGGGACUCACGGGAGACCGCCGGGGUCAACUCGGAGGAAGGUGGGGACGACGUCAAGUCAUCAUGCCCCUUAUGUCUUGGGCUGCACACGUGCUACAAUGGCCGGUACAAUGAGCUGCGAUACCGCGAGGUGGAGCGAAUCUCAAAAAGCCGGUCUCAGUUCGGAUUGGGGUCUGCAACUCGACCCCAUGAAGUCGGAGUCGCUAGUAAUCGCAGAUCAGCAU